Molecule: long non-coding RNA, 290 nt
Filed under: Jatropha curcas
Lineage: Eukaryota; Viridiplantae; Streptophyta; Magnoliopsida; Malpighiales; Euphorbiaceae
Description: long non-coding RNA (JCUR_LNC003060)
Source: RNAcentral
CCAACCUUUCUUUUAGUAAUGUAUGUUUUUUUUUUCGAAUUUGAUUGAAGGAUUGAGCAUAAAUCAAAGUUUAUGAAGGGAUUUUCAUUUCUAGCUUUUAUUCAUGCUAUUUUAUUAGAGAAAUUUAAUUCUUCAUACUAAAUUUAGGCUAUAACUAAUUUAAUGAGCAAUUUAGUACAAUUAGGAUUAACUUCUCAAGUAAUGUUAAAAUUUACUUAGAUGAUUAUUGCUAUGAAUCAUGAUAUUGGAGGAAAAACUAGGUGGUAAGCUAAUGUUGAACAAAAUUCUAG